AACGCUGGCGGCAUGCCUUACACAUGCAAGUCGAACGGCAGCNCGGGAAGCAAUCCUGGUGGCGAGUGGCGAACGGGUGAGUAAUAUAUCGGAACGUGCCCAGUCGUGGGGGAUAACGUAGCGAAAGUUACGCUAAUACCGCAUACGAUCUAAGGAUGAAAGCGGGGGACUCGCAAGAGCCUCGCGCGAUUGGAGCGGCCGAUAUCAGAUUAGGUAGUUGGUGGGGUAAAGGCUCACCAAGCCAACGAUCUGUAGCUGGUCUGAGAGGACGACCAGCCACACUGGAACUGAGACACGGUCCAGACUCCUACGGGAGGCAGCAGUGGGGAAUUUUGGACAAUGGACGCAAGUCUGAUCCAGCCAUUCCGCGUGCAGGAUGAAGGCCCUCGGGUUGUAAACUGCUUUUUGUACGGAACGAAAAGGUUUCUAUUAAUACUAGGAGCUCAUGACGGUACCGUAAGAAUAAGCACCGGCUAACUACGUG
This 484-nucleotide ribosomal RNA is filed under the name uncultured bacterium. Its description in RNAcentral is "bacterial SSU rRNA". It matches the Rfam family "Bacterial small subunit ribosomal RNA", at positions 32 to 507 of the family's 1533-position model. The record is from RNAcentral.